This 488-nucleotide ribosomal RNA is filed under the name uncultured bacterium. RNAcentral describes it as "bacterial SSU rRNA". It matches the Rfam family "Bacterial small subunit ribosomal RNA", at positions 8 to 518 of the family's 1533-position model. The record is from RNAcentral.
AGAGUUUGAUUAUGGCUCAGGAUGAACGCUGGCGGCGUGCUUAACACAUGCAAGUCGAACGAGCACUUCGGUGCGAGUGGCGGACGGGUGAGUAACGCGUGGGUAACCUGCCCUGUACAGGGGGAAUAACAGAGAGAAAAUCUCUGCUAAUGCCGCAUAAGCGCACGGCACUGCAUGGUGCUGUGUGAAAAGCUCCGGCGGUACAGGAUGGACCCGCGUCUGAUUAGCUGGUUGGCGGGGUAACGGCCCACCAAGGCGACGAUCAGUAGCCGGCCUGAGAGGGUGAACGGCCACAGUUGGGACUGAGAUACGGCCCAGACUCCGUACGGGAGGCAGCAGGUGGGGAAUAUUGCACAAUGGGGGAAACCCUGAUGCAGCAAACCGCCGCGUGAGUGAAGAAGUAUUUCGGUAUGUAAAGCUCUAUCAGCAGGGAAGAAGAUGACGGUACCUGCACAAGAAGCCCCGGCUAACUACGUGCCAGCAGCUGC